AUUAGUUUUGUUAGUUUGAUUUUUGAACUGUAGACAAUAAACUUAUGGAGAAGGCAUCAACAAAGGACAACACCAAGACUGUAGCUAGACUAUUUGCUGGGCUUGCCGAAGAGCACAUAAGACAUUCAAACAAGUGAAUAUUUGGAUGCUAUACAUGCAUAUGAGUUCUUGAAGAAGGCAAUAAUCUUAAGGUGAAGGCAGCAAUAAAGGAGAAACAAAGGAGAACAUCAAGACACAUGUUGACCCUCAAUUGGGCCAACGACACGGAUUCAAAUGUAUGACAAAAGAUGAGACGACAAUUAAGAGUUUAACCUAAUGGUAAAGAAGAAAACACCAAGGAUUUAUAGUGGUUCGGCCCCAAAGAAUGGUAAUGACCUACGUCCACUUAGUGCUAUUAUUAAUAUUGAAUCUCAAAGUCGUGAUCAAAGAACUAGGAUUCUUGAGUUUCACAAACCUUAGGAUAAUUACAA
This is a long non-coding RNA of Humulus lupulus (European hop), 470 nucleotides long. RefSeq lists it as uncharacterized. NCBI's taxonomy places the organism in Eukaryota, Viridiplantae, Streptophyta, Magnoliopsida, Rosales, Cannabaceae. The record is from RefSeq and is a predicted model, not a curated record. The transcript is spliced from 3 exons.